UCGCUUUGGCGGUGCAUAUACUAAAAUUGGAACGAUACAGAGAAGAAAUAGCAUGGCUCCUGCUCAAGAAUGACACGCAAAAUCGUGAAGCGUUCCAUCUUUUC
Molecule: small nuclear RNA, 104 nt
Filed under: Schistosoma mattheei
Lineage: Eukaryota; Metazoa; Platyhelminthes; Trematoda; Strigeidida; Schistosomatidae
Source: RNAcentral